GGGUGUGGCUUGGUGGUAGGGCACUUGUCUAGCAUGAGCAAGCCCUGGGUUCAAUCCCAGCAUUGCA
This 67-nucleotide transfer RNA is filed under the name Marmota monax (woodchuck). Its description in RNAcentral is "tRNA.Ala". Lineage: Eukaryota; Metazoa; Chordata; Mammalia; Rodentia; Sciuridae. The record is from RNAcentral.